UACGUAUGGUGCAAGCGUUAUCCGGAUUUACUGGGUGUAAAGGGAGCGCAGGCGGCGCGUUAAGCCUGGUGUGAAAGCCCGCGGCCCAACCGCGGGACUGCAUUGGGAACUGGCGCGCUGGAGUGCCGGAGGGGUAGGCGGAAUUCCUAGUGUAGCGGUGAAAUGCGUAGAUAUUAGGAGGAACACCAGUGGCGAAGGCGGCCUACUGGACGGUGACUGACGCUGAGGCUCGAAAGUGUGGGGAGCAAACAGG
RNAcentral lists this ribosomal RNA (253 nucleotides) under uncultured bacterium. RNAcentral describes it as "partial 16S ribosomal RNA". It matches the Rfam family "Bacterial small subunit ribosomal RNA", at positions 524 to 776 of the family's 1533-position model. The record is from RNAcentral.